GAAACCCGGUGAUCUAGCCAUGGGCAGGUUGAAGGUUGGGUAACACUAACUGGAGGACCGAACCGACUAAUGUUGAAAAAUUAGCGGAUGACUUGUGGCUGGGGGUGAAAGGCCAAUCAAACCGGGAGAUAGCUGGUUCUCCCCGAAAGCUAUUUAGGUAGCGCCUCGUGAAUUCAUCUCCGGGGGUAGAGCACUGUUUCGGCAAGGGGGUCAUCCCGACUUACCAACCCGAUGCAAACUGCGAAUACCGGAGAAUGUUAUCACGGGAGACACACGGCGGGUGCUAACGUCCGUCGUGAAGAGGGAAACAACCCAGACCGCCAGCUAAGGUCCCAAAGUCAUGGUUAAGUGGGAAACGAUGUGGGAAGGCCCAGACAGCCAGGAUGUUGGCUUAGAAGCAGCCAUCAUUUAAAGAAAGCGUAAUAGCUCACUGGUCGAGUCGGCCUGCGCGGAAGAUGUAACGGGGCUAAACCAUGCACCGAAGCUGCGGCAGCGACACUAUGUGUUGUUGGGUAGGGGAGCGUUCUGUAAGCCUGUGAAGGUGGCCUGUGAGGGUUGCUGGAGGUAUCAGAAGUGCGAAUGCUGACAUAAGUAACGAUAAAGCGGGUGAAAAGCCCGCUCGCCGGAAGACCAAGGGUUCCUGUCCAACGUUAAUCGGGGCAGGGUGAGUCGACCCCUAAGGCGAGGCCGAAAGGCGUAGUCGAUGGGAAACAGGUUAAUAUUCCUGUACUUGGUGUUACUGCGAAGGGGGGACGGAGAAGGCUAUGUUGGCCGGGCGACGGUUGUCCCGGUUUAAGCGUGUAGGCUGGUUUUCCAGGCAAAUCCGGAAAACCAAGGCUGAGGCGUGAUGACGAGGCACUACGGUGCUGAAGCGACAAAUGCCCUGCUUCCAGGAAAAGCCUCUAAGCAUCAGGUAACAUCAAAUCGUACCCCAAACCGACACAGGUGGUCAGGUAGAGAAUACCAAGGCGCUUGAGAGAACUCGGGUGAAGGAACUAGGCAAAAUGGUGCCGUAACUUCGGGAGAAGGCACGCUGAUAUGUAGGUGAAGCGACUUGCUCGUGGAGCUGAAAUCAGUCGAAGAUACCAGCUGGCUGCAACUGUUUAUUAAAAACACAGCACUGUGCAAACACGAAAGUGGACGUAUACGGUGUGACGCCUGCCCGGUGCCGGAAGGUUAAUUGAUGGGGUUAGCGGUAACGCGAAGCUCUUGAUCGAAGCCCCGGUAAACGGCGGCCGUAACUAUAACGGUCCUAAGGUAGCGAAAUUCCUUGUCGGGUAAGUUCCGACCUGCACGAAUGGCGUAAUGAUGGCCAGGCUGUCUCCACCCGAGACUCAGUGAAAUUGAACUCGCUGUGAAGAUGCAGUGUACCCGCGGCAAGACGGAAAGACCCCGUGAACCUUUACUAUAGCUUGACACUGAACAUUGAGCCUUGAUGUGUAGGAUAGGUGGGAGGCUUUGAAGUGUGGACGCCAGUCUGCAUGGAGCCGACCUUGAAAUACCACCCUUUAAUGUUUGAUGUUCUAACGUUGGCCCCUAAUCGGGGUUGCGGACAGUGUCUGGUGGGUAGUUUGACUGGGGCGGUCUCCUCCUAAAGAGUAACGGAGGAGCACGAAGGUUGGCUAAUCCUGGUCGGACAUCAGGAGGUUAGUGCAAUGGCAUAAGCCAGCUUGACUGCGAGCGUGACGGCGCGAGCAGGUGCGAAAGCAGGUCAUAGUGAUCCGGUGGUUCUGAAUGGAAGGGCCAUCGCUCAACGGAUAAAAGGUACUCCGGGGAUAACAGGCUGAUACCGCCCAAGAGUUCAUAUCGACGGCGGUGUUUGGCACCUCGAUGUCGGCUCAUCACAUCCUGGGGCUGAAGUAGGUCCCAAGGGUAUGGCUGUUCGCCAUUUAAAGUGGUACGCGAGCUGGGUUUAGAACGUCGUGAGACAGUUCGGUCCCUAUCUGCCGUGGGCGCUGGAGAACUGAGGGGGGCUGCUCCUAGUACGAGAGGACCGGAGUGGACGCAUCACUGGUGUUCGGGUUGUCAUGCCAAUGGCACUGCCCGGUAGCUAAAUGCGGAAGAGAUAAGUGCUGAAAGCAUCUAAGCACGAAACUUGCCCCGAGAUGAGUUCUCCCUGAGACUUAGAGUCUCCUGAAGGAACGUUGAAG
This 2150-nucleotide ribosomal RNA is filed under the name Escherichia coli. Its description in RNAcentral is "partial 23S ribosomal RNA". It matches the Rfam family "Bacterial large subunit ribosomal RNA", at positions 717 to 2843 of the family's 2925-position model. The record is from RNAcentral. Lineage: Bacteria; Pseudomonadati; Pseudomonadota; Gammaproteobacteria; Enterobacterales; Enterobacteriaceae.